UACGAAGGGGGCUAGCGUUGCUCGGAAUCACUGGGCGUAAAGCGCACGUAGGCGGAUCGUUAAGUCAGGGGUGAAAUCCUGGAGCUCAACUCCAGAACUGCCUUUGAUACUGGCGACCUUGAGUUCGGGAGAGGUGAGUGGAACUGCGAGUGUAGAGGUGAAAUUCGUAGAUAUUCGCAAGAACACCAGUGGCGAAGGCGGCUCACUGGCCCGAUACUGACGCUGAGGUGCGAAAGCGUGGGGAGCAAACGGG
This 253-nucleotide ribosomal RNA is filed under the name uncultured bacterium. RNAcentral's name for it is "partial 16S ribosomal RNA". It matches the Rfam family "Bacterial small subunit ribosomal RNA", at positions 524 to 776 of the family's 1533-position model. The record is from RNAcentral.